CUCAGUUUUCUCAUCUGUAAAUUGGAGCCCAUGGAGCUGGUGAUCUCUAAGCUCCCUCUACAGAUUUGGUUUCUCAGGGCAACCUCGAUUCCUAGGCCUCAUCUCAGAGACUGCAAGCAGAUUCUUAGAGAGCUAAAAAUAAAGAAUGUGUUCCCCUCUGUGGAGUAAGGUUGACCCUGAUACCCUCAAGGAAGCAGACAGACAAGCCGUCAUAGUAGAAAGUGCCUAGAAUCCAGUCCUGGCUCUGCCUUCAGCUUGCUGUGUAACCUCAGGCAAAUCUCUCACCCUCUCUGUGUCUCACUCAGUGUGCCAGCUGUAACACGAAGGACUUCUACAACCCCUUCUUGUUCUAAAAUUCUAAGAUUUUGGACUUCCAGCUCCGACCCCUGCCUACCUGGGACAGAGGGGAUGGGAGGUUAGGGGAAGUAUGGAAAUUUCAGGGGAGGAGUCCAGAAUGUCAUUCUUAUACCUCCCCCAGACCCUGACCCACCACAUCCAAAGAGCAACAUCAGCUAGUCCCAAACCAGGGCUGCUGGGUUUGGGGAGCAGCUGCCUCAUCACACACCUCAACACAGUGGCUGGCCCCCAGGCAUCAGACAGUGCACAGACUCAUUACCAUUGUGACUAUGAAGUCACAGUGACAUGGCUUUGAAAUCCAAAUGAAAGAAACACAACAGAGACCCCCUUCCCUGUGGCUCAGCCUGGCACCAGGAUUUAUUGCUUUCAUUUUAAUAGGUUAAUUACUUUGAUAGGUGGCGUUGAUCUGCCCUGAUGGACGGGCAGCACCUGGAAGGCAGGGCUGUGCUGAUUGAUGCCGGGGGCCCACUCCUAUUCAUCCGUUCAACUGGCACCAAGUCAGUGCCUCACUCCACAGACCCAUCAGUGAGAUCUUCAAGAGGGUUAGAAGGUCUAGAUCUCAGGCUUCCCAGCCCAGCCUGCUCAGCACCCCUGGCUUCAUUCACACUGCUGCAGGAAUGGCCACCCCAAAACACAAGUCACAAUAUGUCACUCUCUUCCUCAAAAGUGAUUUCCAUACAUCAUCACUUCUGCAAGACGUGAUCAUAUGGCCUCGAUUCUAAGUCACCACCAAUUGUUAGAGGGCCUUUGAUUAAACAACCAUCUCUCAGGGU
RNAcentral lists this long non-coding RNA (1130 nucleotides) under Rhinopithecus bieti (black snub-nosed monkey). RNAcentral describes it as "lncRNA (ENSRBIG00000046381.1)". Lineage: Eukaryota; Metazoa; Chordata; Mammalia; Primates; Cercopithecidae. The record is from RNAcentral.